Long non-coding RNA from Symphalangus syndactylus (siamang), 1616 nucleotides. RefSeq lists it as uncharacterized. Lineage: Eukaryota; Metazoa; Chordata; Mammalia; Primates; Hylobatidae. The record is from RefSeq and is a predicted model, not a curated record.
AGAAUGGCCACCCUGCAGGAUACAACCCUUUAUGAGAAAUAAAGCUCUCCUUUCCAAAUGCAUGAACCUUGUCAUUCUUCAGCUGAUGGCACUAUUUUCCACUGACUUCCUCUUCCCUGGGUUGCUCAAGUUCACACAGAUGUGUCCUCACCAGGACCUCACAGUCAAGGAGGCUUUUUUGUCUUUCUGUGUGAGUUUGAAGGGAGACCAGAUUCCAACCACUAGACACGGCUGCGUCCCUGAAGUCCCGGCUGCUGCAGGCCUCCCUCGAUCUGGCAAGGAAUGACUCCUUCCCUCCUCUAUUGCUAUCAGGAGAGGCAGGUCCUGCAACCUUUUUGACCAAUAGAAGUUGGCAGAAGCAGGAGCACCUAUGGGCAGGCUUGUGAGUGAAGCCUUCUUGGCCUCCCAGCCCAGGCACCAGCUGAAUGCAGCCGAGUGAAUUAUCCCAGCCAACCUGCGUGAAGCAGAAGAAACAUCAUCCCAAAUUCCAGCCCCAGAAAAUCAAGAACAAAUAAAACCAUGGUUGUUUGAAUCUGCUACAUUUUGAGGUUGAGUUUUUGUUUUGUUUUGUUUUUGAGAUGGAGUUUCGCUCUUGUUACCUAGGCUGGAGUUCAAUGGAGUGAUCUUGGCUCACCACAACCUCCGUCCCCCCAGGUUCAAGCGAUUCUCCUGCCUCAGCCUGAGUAGCUAGGAUUACAGGCAUGAGCCACCACACCUGGUUAAUUUUGUAUUUUUUAGUAGCGACUGGGUUUCUCCAUGUUGGUCAGGCUAGUCUCGAACUCCUGGCCCCAGGUGAUCCGCCCGCCUCAGCCUCCCAAAGUGCUGGGAUUACAAGCGUGGGCCACCACGUCCAGCCUGGAGGUUGUUUUUUAUGUGGCAACAGAUAAAGCAAGUUUUCAGAAUAAAUCUGUUAAAUCGACUUUAGCCUAAAACUGCCUCCUUACAUAUUGGUGCAAAAGUUGGUGCAAAAGUAAUUGCAGUUUUUGCCAUUAAAAGUAAUGUCACCAGCCAAUAUUUUAAGUUUGGCCUAAGGUUUCUCUGUACAUCGUGAGCUAUAACCUAAAUGGAAGUGCAGACAGACUGUAACCUACUCUUGUGCCAAUCACUGAGUUUUGCCCAAUCUAUGGUGGUCAACUGUUUGGACUGUGUUCAAAUAAGGCAAAUGCUGAGCUGUAACCAAUCCGGCCAGUUCUGUACCUCACUUCCAUCUUCUGUACGUCACUUUCCUUUGUUCUGUCUAUAAAUCAUCUUCCACCACAUGGCUGUGCUGGACUCUCUGAGCCUACUCUGGCUCUGGAGGCUACCUGAUUUAUGAAUCAUUCUUUGCUCAAUUAAACUCUGUUAAAUUUAGGCCGGGCGCUGUAGCUCGUGCCUGUAACCCCAGCACUUUGGGAGGCUGAGGUGGGAGGAUCACUUGAGGCCAGGAGUUUGAGACCACCUGAAACCCCAUCUGUACUAAAAGUACAAAGUAUUAGCCAUACGUGGUGGUGCAUGCUUGUAAUCCCAGCUAAUUGGGAGGCUGGGCCAGGAGAAUCCUUGAACUUGGAAGGCAGAGGUUGCAGUGAGCCGAGAUCAUGCCACUGCACUCCAGCCUGGGUGACAAGAACAAAACUCUG